UGGGGUGCGGGGCUGAAUGACUGGAGAAAGGCCGGAAGCGGAAGGAAAGGGGCUUGGCCACCGAGGUCGCACCGCUGGGGCACGGGGAUGGGGGUCGUGGAUGCAGGCUGCUGAGGAGUCUGUAGGUGACUGGACAGGCUUCUUUGGGUAGAAUUAAUUUUUGUUUGCCUCUCUUCCGUCUCCCUCCCUUCUUUUUUCCUCUUUUCUCUCUCUCCCUUACUCUCUUCCCUAAUUUCCUCUUUCUGUUACCCCCUCUCCUCCACUCUUCUUUCCUUUUAUGACAGGGUUUCCUGUAGCCGAAGCUGCCUUAAACUCCCUAUCUGGCUGAGGACGAAUUCAAAUUUUUGAUUCUCUUGGCUCCAUUCUCCGGAGUGCUGACAUUACAGUCCACUCUGGAGUACAUAGCCCAAAACCUUAGCUGAACCGAACUGGAAAGGACGAAGCCUUACAUCCGUGAUGUAUUUGGGGUCUAAAGCCUCACCUCCCAUCAGGCAACGUUUAGCCAGAGCUUCUCUUCGAGCCCGGAUCUCAGCCACAGCACGUUGCAGCCGACUAUGGCCAUAUUGUUCUAUCCGUGCCCACAGACUACGGUUGAAGUGAGUAUAAAGAGCCCAGUCUAGAUUAUUCCAAGCUCGGGCCCGUGCAGUCAGCUGCUGCUCUUCAUUCGCCACACUCUUAUUGGCAGCACUGAGCCUCUGCUCACUUCUGGCCUGAGCAUUGUGCAUAAAGCCCACCACAUCAUCCAGACCCCAGCAAAGGGCAUCUGCCAACAGAACCAAUGACUCGUCAAAGUAUUCAGCCACCAUGACCAAGUCAAAGACAGAAUCCAACCAGGCCAGACCCCACUGGAUAAAAGAUGAGGGCCCAAAAUCUGAAGAGGCAAAGCUGGCUGGCUGUGCAUUAUUAUUAGCAACUGUGCUCAUAGGCUGGAAAAGAGUUCCAAGGCCAGCACCAGAAGGCACAAUAUGUAACUGGAGGGGGUUGGGGUCUCUGGGUAGAUGAGAACUCACUCUUCUCUCUGGGGGGAAGGGCAAACCAAAGUCGAACCAAAGUAAGUUUCGGGCAUAGUGGUUGCCACGGCCCCCGGGUCUGUAGAAGGCUUGAGGAUUGGACAGGAAGGCAGCCAAAGACGGUGCCUUUCGGAAGGCCGAUGAGGUUGACUUAUAAUAGGAGAAGGCAGAGCGGGCUAGAGCCGCUGGGUCUCGGACAAUGGAGAAGAAGAAGCUGUCAGAAGGCAUGACCUGAAGUACCUUCGGAGGAGAAAGAAAGCUUGACUAAGGAGAGAACAAGGACAAACUAAGGCUCUGGUGAGCCCUCACAACACUUAGCUUCCCUAACGUGCUGGGUGAUCUUGGGGGGAAAAGUAUGUAACACCUCUGAGACUCAAUUUGCUUGUCUGCAAAAGGGAAGUAGUCAGGGGUCUCCAGGUGACAGAUAAAUACACAAGGUAGCAGCUGGUCAGACAAGUUCUAGAUCAUUGUCUCCUUGGAUCUUUGUGUCCUCUUUAGUUCACAAAUACUCUCAAAGCUUGGGUUGAGGGAAUGGCUCAGUCAAUAGUGUUUGCCACACAAGCGUGAGGACCCAAGUCCAUACUCACUGUUUGUACAUAAAAGGCACAGGGGUGCUCACCCUGUGCCAAGGAGGUAGAGACAGGUAAAACCCUGGGAGCUGGCAGGCACACACCUAAAACCUCUAAGAACCAGACUUUGUGUUUACUCCCACAACAAAAAUUAUUUGUAUUCAUUUUUUGUGUGUGCAUAUGUGUGAGUGUUCAUGUGUGUGCACUUGUGCAUGUGGACUGGGGCAGGGGCUUAUUUCCUCAGGCACCAUCCACCUUUGUUUUCUUUCUUUCUUUCUUUUGUUUUUCAAGGCAGGGUUUCUCUGUGGCUUUGGAGGCUGUCCUGGAACUCGCUCUGUAGACCAGGCUGGUCUCGAAUUCACAAAGAUCUGCCUGCCUCUGAGUGCUGGGAUUAAAGGCGAGUGCCACCAUUGCCUGGCUCCACCUUUGUUUUCAAGACAGGAUCUCUCACUGGCCUGAGCAAGAGAUCAACUAGGCAAGGAAGGCUAGUCAGGGAGCCCCAGGGAUUCACCUGUUUCUGCCUCCUCAGUGCUGAGAACACAAGAGCUUGCUACCAUGCCCAGCUUUCUUACAUGGGCUCUGGGAGUCACACUCAGGCUUACAUAGUAAGCAUUUUACUCUGUCUCCCCAGCCCUACCCCUUUUUGAGACAGAGUCACACGCAGUCCAGGUGAUCUUGAACUCCUGCCACCCGAGCAUUGGUUUUUUCUUUUUGUUUGUUUUGAAACAGGGUUUCUCUGUGUAGCUUUGGAGCCUGUCCUGGCACUCACUCUGGAGACCAGGCUGGCCUCAAACUCACAGAGAUCCGACUGCCUCUGCCUCCAGAGUGCUGGGAUUAAAGGUGUGCAGCACCACUACUGGCCCAGCAUGAGCAUUGUAAUUAUAGACAGGGGCCAACAUGGCCCGGUGCUCGUGCAACACACACACACACACACACACACACACACACACACACACACUUGUGAAAUGCCUUUUUCUGGGACUCUUGGUCACAGCUUCAAGAAAGCAACUGGCUUUGAGGCCUCUCAGGGUGGGAGGAGGGAGACAUCAGGGACAGGGUUGUAUCCUCAGGCCAGUCCAAGAUGACUGAUGCAUGAGGCACUUCUGGGGCUCCUAAAGAGCUUAGAGAACAAAAGACACUCCUGAAGUAGGGCACUGGGGGUGGAGCUGUGCUGGAAAAUGGGUAGGACUAAAGUCUGGGAUGUGUGUGUCUAUUACUCACCAGGUACCUUGAGAAUCAGGCUGAGUUGUGCUGUAACAUGGCCCAGCUGACAGAUUGACAUGUUAUGUUAAUAGUUCCCACCCCCUGAAGGUUUCCUCCCUGAUAAUGACUUUUAUCGUGGAAUCUAACCUUCCCUCUAUCACAGUGGCCGUUGGUAAUAAGUCUGUUCUUCAGGGAGUUUUUAAAAUUAGGAUCAGGGGCUGGACAGAUGGUUCACUGGUUAAGAUCUUUAUAUGCUGCAACUUCAGGAACUAGUGUUCAGAUCCCAGCAACCAUAUAAUGAGCCAGGUAUCUCUACAUAUGCCUGUAAACCUACCUCCAGUGGGGGCAGAGACAGGAGUAUCACUGGGGCUUGCUGGCUUCCAGCCUAGCUGAGAACCUAGCCUCAUGUUCAGGGAGGGAUCCUGCCUCAAAGGAACAUACAGAAUGAUACCUGAGAAUCCCCUGCUACUCUUUUGUACAUGCAUAGACACACAUUGUCUGUCUCACACACACAAAUAAAUAAAUCUUCAGAUGAAUAAAAUAAAUAAGUUUGGGUCAAUCUCCAAAAUGAUAAUAGGAACUUAUUUGGAAUUUAAGGUGUUCUGCUAUGCAUCUGGAAACUAUAUGUACAAGCCCCCAAAUCAGCAACAAGGCAUCCUCCCAAAAGAGAACAAAUGGUUAUAUUUCUCAUAUUGUCAAGAAAUGUCAUUCCGCAAACUCCAAUCCGUUCCUCAACUCUGCAGGAGACAACCAGAGAACAAAUGGCCACUCACAUUUCAUUGAGUGAAGAUUUAAGAGCGAGGACAUGGAACAGACUGAAAGUUUACUGAGGAAAAAAAGGAAACACAAAUAUUUUUCUAAAGGAGCUAUGAUAGGCUGGAGAGAUGGCUCAGUGGGUAAAGUGCUGUGCAAGUAUGAGGACCUGGGUUUGGAUCCCCGUGACCCAUGUAAAUAAAGUUAGAUGUAGUAAGUUGCCUCAGUAAUCUCCAAGGGUGAGAUGGGAGGUGGAGACAGGUGAGUCCCCAGAAGCCCACAGACCAGUUAGCCUGGAGUACAUAGCCACAAAGGGCAAAAAAGACCAUCUCAAAUGAGGUGAAAGGCAAGAACUAACACAAGGUUGUCCUCUGACUGCCCCACACUCACCAUGGCACACACUACCCUGUGUCACAGUUAUGGACACACACAUCCUACACAUGAAGGGUUUUUGUUAUUUUUUUUUAUUAAGCCUUUCCUUAACUGAUUUUUUUUUAAAAAAUUUCUUCAUUAAUAUGGGCAAUGCCCAGAGGGCAAAGCCUUUGAACUCUGGUUUUUUGGAAAGCAGAAGGUAGUAACUGUCCCUGGCAUCAAAAAUAAGUUUUCCCAGCUCUACCAUUUGUAACUUGUGUGGCUUUGGCACUUUACUGAUGUUAUCAGAAGCUUUGUCUCUUCAGGUAUAAGUCUGUAUUAGUGUAUCGGGAAGCGUGUGGUCAUUGGCCCACUCUUCACAGUGGCCCCUCAUUAUACAGCAGUGGCCAAUGACCAGAGUCACUGAACUAAAUCCCUGUAAUGGCUGAGAGAGCCCUCAUCCAGUGGCUGAUGGAAGCAGAGACAGACAUCCAC
Non-coding RNA from Cricetulus griseus (Chinese hamster), 4381 nucleotides. The record is from RefSeq and is a predicted model, not a curated record. NCBI's taxonomy places the organism in Eukaryota, Metazoa, Chordata, Mammalia, Rodentia, Cricetidae.